RNAcentral lists this ribosomal RNA (497 nucleotides) under uncultured bacterium. RNAcentral's name for it is "partial 16S ribosomal RNA". It matches the Rfam family "Bacterial small subunit ribosomal RNA", at positions 28 to 507 of the family's 1533-position model. The record is from RNAcentral.
GAUGAACGCUGGCGGCGUGCCUAAUACAUGCAAGUCGAGCGAACAGACGAGGAGCUUGCUCCUCUGACGUUAGCGGCGGACGGGUGAGUAACACGUGGAUCACCUACCUAUAAGACUGGGAUAACUUCGGGAAACCGGAGCUAAUACCGGAUAAUAUAUUGAACCGCAUGGUUCAAUAGUGAAGGACGGUUUUGCUGUCACUUAUAGAUGGAUCCGCGCCGCAUUAGCUAGUUGGUAAGGUAACGGCUUACCAAGGCAACGAUGCGUAGCCGACCUGAGAGGGUGAUCGGCCACACUGGAACUGAGACACGGUCCAGACUCCUACGGGAGGCAGCAGUAGGGAAUCUUCCGCAAUGGGCGAAAGCCUGACGGAGCAACGCCGCGUGAGUGAUGAAGGUCUUCGGAUCGUAAAACUCUGUUAUUAGGGAAGAACAAAUGUGUAAGUAACUAUGCACGUCUUGACGGUACCUAAUCAGAAAGCCACGGCUAACUACGUG